RNAcentral lists this ribosomal RNA (441 nucleotides) under uncultured bacterium. RNAcentral describes it as "partial 16S ribosomal RNA". It matches the Rfam family "Bacterial small subunit ribosomal RNA", at positions 338 to 795 of the family's 1533-position model. The record is from RNAcentral.
CCUACGGGCGGCAGCAGUGGGGAAUAUUGCACAAUGGGCGAAACCCUGAUGCAGCGACGCCGCGUGAACGAUGACUUAUCUCGGUAUGUAAAGCUCUAUCAGCAGGGGAAUAGAAAGACGGUCCCUGACUAAGCAGCCCCGACUAACUACGUGCCAGCAGCCGCGGUAAGACGUAGGGGGCGAGCGUUAUCCGGAUUUACUGGGUGUAAAGGGAGCGUAGACGGCUGUGCAAGUCUGAAGUGAAAGCCCAGGGCUCAACCCUGGGACUGCUUUGGAAACUGGCGAGCUAGAGUGCUGUAGAGGUAAGUGGAAUUCGUAGUGUAGCGGUGAAAUGCGUAGAUAUUAGGAGGAACACCAGUGGCGAAGGCGGCUUACUGGACAGUAACUGACGUUGAGGCUCGAAAGCGUGGGGAGCAAACAGGAUUAGAUACCCGGGUAGUC